This 327-nucleotide unclassified non-coding RNA is filed under the name plant metagenome. Its description in RNAcentral is "partial contains 5.8S ribosomal RNA, internal transcribed spacer 2, and large subunit ribosomal RNA". The stretch from base 1 to 105 matches the Rfam family "5.8S ribosomal RNA", at positions 50 to 154 of the family's 154-position model. The record is from RNAcentral.
GAAAUGCGAUAAGUAAUGUGAAUUGCAGAAUUCCGUGAAUCAUCGAAUCUUUGAACGCACAUUGCGCCCUCUGGUAUUCCGGGGGGCAUGCCUGUCCGAGCGUCAUUGCGAACCCCUCAAGCACGGCUUGUGUGAUGGGCCCUCCCGCGUCUUGGUCGUCAAGACGGGCCCGAAAAGCAGUGGCGGCUUCGCGGUUAUCCGAUCAGCCAGAGCGUAUGGGGACUUUCUCUCUGUCACACGCCCGGCGCGGACCGACGCCUGUCGACCUUUAUUCAUCUUUUUCUCGGUUGACCUCGGAUCAGGUAGGGAUACCCGCUGAACUUAAGC